ACGUACACUCCUACGGGAGGCAGCAGUGGGGAAUAUUGGACAAUGGGCGCAAGCCUGAUCCAGCCAUGCCGCGUGAGUGAUGAAGGCCCUAGGGUUGUAAAGCUCUUUCACCGGUGAAGAUAAUGACGGUAACCGGAGAAGAAGCCCCGGCUAACUUCGUGCCAGCAGCCGCGGUAAUACGAAGGGGGCUAGCGUUGUUCGGAUUUACUGGGCGUAAAGCGCACGUAGGCGGACUAUUAAGUCAGGGGUGAAAUCCCGGGGCUCAACCCCGGAACUGCCUUUGAUACUGGUAGUCUUGAGUGCGAGAGAGGUGAGUGGAAUUCCGAGUGUAGAGGUGAAAUUCGUAGAUAUUCGGAGGAACACCAGUGGCGAAGGCGGCUCACUGGCUCGAUACUGACGCUGAGGUGCGAAAGCGUGGGGAGCAAACAGGAUUAGAAACCCUGGUAGUCCCA
This 452-nucleotide ribosomal RNA is filed under the name uncultured organism. Its description in RNAcentral is "partial 16S ribosomal RNA". It matches the Rfam family "Bacterial small subunit ribosomal RNA", at positions 329 to 797 of the family's 1533-position model. The record is from RNAcentral.